This 997-nucleotide ribosomal RNA is filed under the name Bacillus pseudomycoides. RNAcentral's name for it is "bacterial SSU rRNA". It matches the Rfam family "Bacterial small subunit ribosomal RNA", at positions 357 to 1346 of the family's 1533-position model. Lineage: Bacteria; Bacillati; Bacillota; Bacilli; Caryophanales; Bacillaceae. The record is from RNAcentral.
GGGAAUCUUCCGCAAUGGACGAAAGUCUGACGGAGCAACGCCGCGUGAGCGAUGAAGCCUUUCGGGUCGUAAAGCUCUGUUGUUAGGGAAGAACAAGUGCUAGUUGAAUAAGCUGGCACCUUGACGGUACCUAACCAGAAAGCCACGGCUAACUACGUGCCAGCAGCCGCGGUAAUACGUAGGUGGCAAGCGUUAUCCGGAAUUAUUGGGCGUAAAGCGCGCGCAGGUGGUUUCUUAAGUCUGAUGUGAAAGCCCACGGCUCAACCGUGGAGGGUCAUUGGAAACUGGGAGACUUGAGUGCAGAAGAGGAAAGUGGAAUUCCAUGUGUAGCGGUGAAAUGCGUAGAGAUAUGGAGGAACACCAGUGGCGAAGGCGACUUUCUGGUCUGCAACUGACACUGAGGCGCGAAAGCGUGGGGAGCAAACAGGAUUAGAUACCCUGGUAGUCCACGCCGUAAACGAUGAGUGCUAAGUGUUAGAGGGUUUCCGCCCUUUAGUGCUGAAGUUAACGCAUUAAGCACUCCGCCUGGGGAGUACGGCCGCAAGGCUGAAACUCAAAGGAAUUGACGGGGGCCCGCACAAGCGGUGGAGCAUGUGGUUUAAUUYGAAGCAACGCGAAGAACCUUACCAGGUCUUGACAUCCUCUGACAACCCUAGAGAUAGGGCUUCCCCUUCGGGGGCAGAGUGACAGGUGGUGCAUGGUUGUCGUCAGCUCGUGUCGUGAGAUGUUGGGUUAAGUCCCGCAACGAGCGCAACCCUUGAUCUUAGUUGCCAUCAUUAAGUUGGGCACUCUAAGGUGACUGCCGGUGACAAACCGGAGGAAGGUGGGGAUGACGUCAAAUCAUCAUGCCCCUUAUGACCUGGGCUACACACGUGCUACAAUGGACGGUACAAAGAGUCGCAAGACCGCGAGGUGGAGCUAAUCUCAUAAAACCGUUCUCAGUUCGGAUUGUAGGCUGCAACUCGCCUACAUGAAGCUGGAAUCGCUAGUAAUCGCG